UACGUAGGGAGCAAGCGUUGUCCGGAUUUACUGGGUGUAAAGGGUGCGUAGGCGGCUCUGCAAGUCAGGCGUGAAAUAUAUGGGCUUAACCCAUAGACUGCGUUUGAAACCGUGGAGCUUGAGUGAAGUAGAGGUAGGCGGAAUUCCCGGUGUAGCGGUGAAAUGCGUAGAGAUCGGGAGGAACACCAGUGGCGAAGGCGGCCUACUGGGCUUUAACUGACGCUGAGGCACGAAAGCAUGGGUAGCAAACAGGAUUAGAUACCCUGGUAGUCCAUGCUGUAAACGAUGAUUACUAGGUGUGGGGGGUCUGACCCCUUCCGUGCCGGAGUUAACACAAUAAGUAAUCCACCUGGGGAGUACGACCGCAAGGUUGAAACUCAAAGGAAUUGACGGGGGCCCGCACAAGCAGUGGAGUAUGUGGUUUAAUUCAAAGCAACGCGAAGAACCUUACCAGGUCUUGACAUCCAACUAACGAGGCAGAGAUGCAUUAGGUGCCCUUCGGGGAAAGUUGAGACAGGUGGUGCAUGGUUGUCGUCAGCUCGUGUCGUGAGAUGUUGGGUUAAGUCCCGCAACGAGCGCAACCCUUAUGAUUAGUUGCUACGCAAGAGCACUCUAAUCAGACUGCCGUUGACAAAACGGAGGAAGGUGGGGACGACGUCAAAUCAUCAUGCCCUUUAUGACCUGGGCUACACACGUACUACAAUGGCUGUUAACAGAGGGAAGCAAGACCGCGAGGUGGAGCAAAACCUUAAAAACAGUCUCAGUUCGGAUCGCAGGCUGCAACCCGCCUGCGUGAAGUUGGAAUUGCUAGUAAUCGCGGAUCAUCAUGCCGCGGUGAAUACGUUCCCGGGCCUUGUACACACCGCCCGUCACACCAUGGGAGCCGGUAAUACCCGAAGUCAGUAGCCCAACCGCAAGGAAGGCGCUGCCGAAGGUAGGAUUGGCGACUGGGGUG
This 955-nucleotide ribosomal RNA is filed under the name uncultured Clostridium sp. Its description in RNAcentral is "bacterial SSU rRNA". It matches the Rfam family "Bacterial small subunit ribosomal RNA", at positions 524 to 1482 of the family's 1533-position model. Lineage: Bacteria; Bacillati; Bacillota; Clostridia; Eubacteriales; Clostridiaceae. The record is from RNAcentral.